UACAGGUGGUGCAUGGCUGUCGUCAGCUCGUGUCGUGAGAUGUUGGGUUAAGUCCCGCAACGAGCGCAACCCUUGUUCUGUGUUGCCAGCAUGCCCUUCGGGGUGAUGGGGACUCACAGGAGACUGCCGGGGUCAACUCGGAGGAAGGUGGGGACGACGUCAAGUCAUCAUGCCCCUUAUGUCUUGGGCUGCACACGUGCUACAAUGGCCGGUACAAUGAGCUGCGAAGCCGUGAGGUGGAGCGAAUCUCAAAAAGCCGGUCUCAGUUCGGAUUGGGGUCUGCAACUCGACCCCAUGAAGUUGGAGUUGCUAGUAAUCGCAGAUCAGCAUUGCUGCGGUGAAUACGUUCCCGGGUCUUGUACACACC
RNAcentral lists this ribosomal RNA (367 nucleotides) under Streptomyces platensis. RNAcentral's name for it is "bacterial SSU rRNA". It matches the Rfam family "Bacterial small subunit ribosomal RNA", at positions 1033 to 1391 of the family's 1533-position model. The record is from RNAcentral. Lineage: Bacteria; Bacillati; Actinomycetota; Actinomycetes; Kitasatosporales; Streptomycetaceae.